GACGAACGCUGGCGGCGUGCUCAACACAUGCAAGUCGAACGGAAAGGCCCUGCUUUUGUGGGGUGCUCGAGUGGCGAACGGGUGAGUAACACGUGAGUAACCUGCCCUUGACUUUGGGAUAACUUCAGGAAACUGGGGCUAAUACCGGAUAGGAGCUCCUGCUGCAUGGUGGGGGUUGGAAAGUUUCGGCGGUUGGGGAUGGACUCGCGGCUUAUCAGCUUGUUGGUGGGGUAGUGGCUUACCAAGGCUUUGACGGGUAGCCGGCCUGAGAGGGUGACCGGCCACAUUGGGACUGAGAUACGGCCCAGACUCCUACGGGAGGCAGCAGUGGGGAAUAUUGCACAAUGGGCGGAAGCCCGAUGCAGCAACGCCGCGUGCGGGAUGACGGCCUUCGGGUUGUAAACCGCUUUCGCCUGUGACGAAGCGUGAGUGACGGUAAUGGGUAAAGAAGCACCGGCUAACUACGUG
Molecule: ribosomal RNA, 468 nt
Filed under: uncultured bacterium
Lineage: Bacteria
Description: partial 16S ribosomal RNA
Rfam family: Bacterial small subunit ribosomal RNA
Source: RNAcentral